RNAcentral lists this ribosomal RNA (455 nucleotides) under uncultured Sphingobacteriales bacterium. Its description in RNAcentral is "bacterial SSU rRNA". It matches the Rfam family "Bacterial small subunit ribosomal RNA", at positions 925 to 1382 of the family's 1533-position model. The record is from RNAcentral. Lineage: Bacteria; Pseudomonadati; Bacteroidota; Sphingobacteriia; Sphingobacteriales.
ACAAGCGGAGGAGCAUGUGGUUUAAUUCGAUGAUACGCGAGGAACCGUUACCUGGGCUCGAACGUAAGAUGACUGUAGGUGAAAGCUUACAUCUCUUCGGAGCAUUUUACGAGGUGCUGCAUGGUUGUCGUCAGCUCGUGCCGUGAGGUGUCGGGUUAAGUCCCAUAACGAGCGCAACCCUACCUUUAGUUGCCAUCAGGUAAUGCUGGGGACUCUAAAGGAACUGCUACGCAAGUAGUGAGGAAGCGGGGAUGACGUCAAAUCAGCACGGCCCUUACGUCCAGGGCUACACACGUGCUACAAUGGCCGAUACAGAGGGCAGCUACCUGGUGACAGGAUGCAAAUCUCCAAAGUCGGUCUCAGUUCGGAUCGGAGUCUGCAACCCGACUCCGUGAAGUUGGAUUCGCUAGUAAUCGCGCAUCAGCCAUGGCGCGGUGAAUACGUUCCCGGGCCUU